CCUCCUUCGGGGGGCAAGUAGAGUGGCGCACGGGUGAGUAACACGUAGGUAAUCUACCUUUGGAUUGGGAAUAACCAUCGGAAACGGUGGCUAAUACCGAAUAAUGCAGCGGCACCUAAUGGUGACAGUUGUUAAAGCGGGGGAUCGAAAGACCUCGCGUCUGAAGAGGAGCCUGCGGCAGAUUAGCUAGUUGGUAGGGUAACGGCUUACCAAGGCGAUGAUCUGUAGCCGGCCUGAGAGGGCGGUCGGCCACACUGACACUGACAUACGGGUCAGACUCCUACGGGAGGCAGCAGUCGGGAAUUUUGGGCAAUGGGCGAAAGCCUGACCCAGCAACGCCGCGUGAAGGAUGAAAUCCUUCGGGAUGUAAACUUCGCAAGAACGGGAAGAAUAAACCGGUGUUAACAUCACCGGUGAUGACGGUACUGUUUGUAAGCUCCGGCUAACUCCGUGCCAGCAGCCGCGGUAAUACGGGGGGAGCAAGCGUUGUUCGGAUUUACUGGGCGUAAAGGGCGCGUAGGCGGCCACCGCAAGUCGAUUGUGAAAUCUCCGGGCUUAACCCGGAAAGGUCAACCGAUACUGCGGGGCUAGAGUGCAGAAGGGGCAACUGGAAUUCUCGGUGUAGCGGUGAAAUGCGUAGAUAUCGAGAGGAACACCUGCGGCGAAGGCGGGUUGCUGGGCUGACACUGACGCUGAUGCGCGAAAGCUAGGGGAGCGAACGGGAUUAGAUACCCCGGUAGUCCUAGCCUUAAACGAUGAAUGCUUGGUGUCUGGGGUUCUAUAGUCCCCGGGUGCCGUCGCUAACGCUUUAAGCA
Molecule: ribosomal RNA, 815 nt
Filed under: uncultured Actinomycetes bacterium
Lineage: Bacteria; Bacillati; Actinomycetota; Actinomycetes
Description: bacterial SSU rRNA
Rfam family: Bacterial small subunit ribosomal RNA
Source: RNAcentral